This 253-nucleotide ribosomal RNA is filed under the name uncultured bacterium. RNAcentral's name for it is "partial 16S ribosomal RNA". It matches the Rfam family "Bacterial small subunit ribosomal RNA", at positions 524 to 776 of the family's 1533-position model. The record is from RNAcentral.
UACAGGGGAUGCAAGCGUUAUCCGGAAUGAUUGGGCGUAAAGCGUCUGUAGGUGAUUUAAAAAGUCUAUUGUUAAAACCCAAGGCUUAACCUUGGACCAGCAAUGGAAACUGCUAGAUCAGAGUACGGUAAGGGUAGAUGGAAUUACCGGUGUAACGGUGAAAUGUGCAGAUAUCGGUAAGAACACCAACGGCGAAAGCAAUCUACUAGGCCAAAACUGACACUGAGAGACGAAAGCUAAGGGAGCGACCAGG